GGAAAUUCGAGACUCAAUUUGGAAACUUGAGUGUGUUUAAAAUGCUCUUUUGUUAGAAAACGAAACUUUUCUUGCCAUUAGGCUACCCCCCCCCCCACCUCUCUCCCUCCACUACGACAGCCCAUCCCAUCUCAUCUCACAGAAAGCAUUUCCUGUGUGUCUCGGGUGGUAUUUAUCUGGAGAAGGCGAGCUUCUUCGGGCGGGGGCAUGGGGAGCGGCGAGACAGACGCCCUGAGCAUGUCGCACCUUGCAGACUCCCAACAGGUGCUUCUUGGAUGUGACUGCAGUUGAUUGGCUGCCAGCUGGCAGCAGUGAAGUCUUUUUAUGGUUGCAACGUGAGUCAGCGAGGAGCGAGGCGAGCAUGAGGGGCGGACAGCGAUACAAGGACCAGAACCUGAUUGGAUUUCAAAGGGUUUGGCAGGGGCUGCUGCAGGAGGAAACCUGCCAAGAGAUGGUUCCUGUGUACUUCGACAACGGAAUGAUGCACAAAACCGAUUGGAAGAAUCAUCAUGCAGCAAGACAAUGACCCCAAAACACACUGCCAGCGUUCCUCAGGGAGAUUAAAUGGAAGAUAUUGAGACUGGACCAAGUUUAUCUCCAGACUUGAAACCAAAAGAACAAAUAUUUGACCUGCAAAGAGACUGAAGGGAAUAAACCCCCCAAGCAAACAACAUCUGAAAGAGGCUGUGGUGUAAACCUGGAAAAGUAUCACAAAAGAAUGCCUAAGUGUUGUCAUGUCAGUGUGUCACAGACUUGAUGUAAAUAUUCAAAGCAAAUAAUUUGCAAAUAAAUAUUUUCCAAUAUCACUUCUCACCUAAUUUUUUUUUGUUAUAAUCCUAUCAUGUGCAUCAAAACCAGAAGUAAAUACAUGAAAAUAAAAGUUGAAAUAUU
Long non-coding RNA from Hippocampus comes (tiger tail seahorse), 891 nucleotides. RefSeq lists it as uncharacterized. The transcript is spliced from 3 exons. Lineage: Eukaryota; Metazoa; Chordata; Actinopteri; Syngnathiformes; Syngnathidae. The record is from RefSeq and is a predicted model, not a curated record.